This 448-nucleotide long non-coding RNA is filed under the name Rattus norvegicus (Norway rat). RNAcentral describes it as "long non-coding RNA NONRATT013559". The record is from RNAcentral. Lineage: Eukaryota; Metazoa; Chordata; Mammalia; Rodentia; Muridae.
CCUGCGUGGACGCCCGAACCGGGGGCAGCCUGGCCUUCCCGCCGGGCACCUGCUCUUCAGAGCCCCUGUCGCUCUAGCCGCGAGUCCUCACUCCUGCAAGGGUUGGAGGUCCCCUCAAAGCCCGGUCCCUGAGGAAGGGAUAGCGGGAUGUGGAGGUCUCCCUGAGCUCCCUGAGCUUUGCUUCGGGCCAGCCUCUUCUACCAAAACCGCUGAGACUGAGGGCGGGGAGAAAGAGCCGGUUGGAACUGGACCGCUCCAGGCAGGGGAAAACCUGAGUGGGCGGGAGCCACCCUUGGCCGAGGGUCUUGGGGACGGGGAGCUCAGGUCACUAGAGGGCCUUGCGUGUGCAGCAGAUCGCCUGGGCUGCGCAUACGUCCUGGUUCGCGGGGUCCAAGUAAAACUCACAGAUGGGAACCGAGACUUUGGUAGCCAGAAAAAAAAAAAAGCC